This 658-nucleotide ribosomal RNA is filed under the name uncultured bacterium. Its description in RNAcentral is "bacterial SSU rRNA". It matches the Rfam family "Bacterial small subunit ribosomal RNA", at positions 94 to 788 of the family's 1533-position model. The record is from RNAcentral.
AGUGGCGGACGGGUGAGUAACGCGUGAGAAUCUGCCUUCAGGUCGGGGACAACAGAGGGAAACUUCUGCUAAUCCCGGAUGAGCCUUAGGGUAAAAAAUUUAUUGCCUGGAGAUGAGCUCGCGUCUGAUUAGCUAGUUGGUAAGGUAAAAGCUUACCAAGGCAACGAUCAGUAGCUGGUCUGAGAGGAUGAGCAGCCACACUGGGACUGAGACACGGCCCAGACUCCUACGGGAGGCAGCAGUGGGGAAUUUUCCGCAAUGGGCGAAAGCCUGACGGAGCAAGACCGCGUGGGGGAGGAAGGCUCUAGGGUUGUAAACCCCUUUUCUUUGGGAAGAACAAAAUGACGGUACCAAAGGAAUCAGCCUCGGCUAACUCCGUGCCAGCAGCCGCGGUAAUACGAGGAGGCAAGCGUUAUCCGGAAUGAUUGGGCGUAAAGCGUCCGCAGGUGGCAAUGUAAGUCUGCUGUCAAAACCCAGGGCUCAACUCUGGUCAGGCAGUGGAAACUACAUAGCUAGAGUUCGGUAGGGGCAAAGGGAAUUCCCGGUGUAGCGGUGAAAUGCGUAGAGAUCGGGAAGAACAUCGGUCGAAAGCGCUUUGCUAGACCGAAACUGACACUCAGGGACGAAAGCUAGGGGAGCGAAUGGGAUUAGAUACCCC